Long non-coding RNA from Acomys russatus (golden spiny mouse), 287 nucleotides. RefSeq lists it as uncharacterized. The record is from RefSeq and is a predicted model, not a curated record. NCBI's taxonomy places the organism in Eukaryota, Metazoa, Chordata, Mammalia, Rodentia, Muridae. The transcript is spliced from 2 exons.
AGCUAGAUCUUAGAAGGAGCCGUCUGUUGAAGUCAGAGGCCAGACCAGCACUUGGAGGAAGCCUGGAGUGGACCGGAAGGAUCUUCAUUGGCUGCCCAAGGCUUAUGAUUCCUUCAGCGGACAAGUUGCUCUUGCACAUAUCCUGAAGUGGCUCCCCAGUCCCAUCCUCCUUAGGGUAGAGACUAUUUACCAAAUGUGAAUUCCUUUAAGAAAGUGUGAAGUUAUGUAGAAAUUGACUGUGAAAUGUCAGAGAAAAAAAAAAAUAAAAGUCACUUACUUGAAAACUA